AAUUCGAUUAGUUUGAUCAUGGCUCAGGACGAACGCUGGCGGCGUGCUUAACACAUGCAAGUCGAGCGGAAAGGCCCUUUUGGGGGUACUCGAGCGGCGAACGGGUGAGUAACACGUGAGUAAUCUGCCCUUCACUCUGGGAUAACUGCCUGAAAGGGUGGCUAAUACCGGAUAUUCUCUGGACAUCGCAUGGUGUUUGGUGGGAAGAUUUUUUGGUGGGGGAUGUGCUCGCGGCCUAUCAGCUUGUUGGUGGGGUAAUGGCCUACCAAGGCUUUGACGGGUAGCCGGCCUGAGAGGGUGACCGGCCACACUGGGACUGAGACACGGCCCAGACUCCUACGGGAGGCAGCAGUGGGGAAUAUUGGACAAUGGGCGGAAGCCUGAUCCAGCAACGCCGCGUGAGGGAUGACGGCCUUCGGGUUGUAAACCUCUUUCAGCACAGACGAAGCGCCCUGUCGGGUGGUGACGGUAUGUGCAGAAGAAGCACCGGCCAACUACGUGCCAGCAGCCGCGGUAAUACGUAGGGUGCGAGCGUUGUCCGGAAUUAUUGGGCGUAAAGGGCUCGUAGGCGGUUUGUCGCGUCGGGAGUGAAAUCCACUGGCUUAACUGGUGGCUUGCUUUCGAUACGGGCAGACUGGAGGUAUGCAGGGGAGAACGGAAUUCCUGGUGUAGCGGUGAAAUGCGCAGAUAUCAGGAGGAACACCGGUGGCGAAGGCGGUUCUCUGG
RNAcentral lists this ribosomal RNA (726 nucleotides) under uncultured bacterium. Its description in RNAcentral is "bacterial SSU rRNA". It matches the Rfam family "Bacterial small subunit ribosomal RNA", at positions 1 to 732 of the family's 1533-position model. The record is from RNAcentral.